GAUGAACGCUGGCGGCGUGCCUAAUACAUGCAAGUCGAGCGAACAGACGAGGAGCUUGCUCCUCUGACGUUAGCGGCGGACGGGUGAGUAACACGUGGGUAACCUACCUAUAAGACUGGGAUAACUUCGGGAAACCGGAGCUAAUACCGGAUAAUAUUUCGAACCGCAUGGUUCGAUAGUGAAAGAUGGCUCUGCUAUCACUUAUAGAUGGACCUGCGCCGUAUUAGCUAGUUGGUAAGGUAACGGCUUACCAAGGCAACGAUACGUAGCCGACCUGAGAGGGUGAUCGGCCACACUGGAACUGAGACACGGUCCAGACUCCUACGGGAGGCAGCAGUAGGGAAUCUUCCGCAAAGGGCGAAAGCCUGACGGAGCAACGCCGCGUGAGUGAUGAAGGUCUUCGGAUCGUAAAACUCUGUUAUUAGGGAAGAACAAACGUGUAAGUAACUGUGCACGUCUUGACGGUACCUAAUCAGAAAGCCACGGCUAACUACGUG
RNAcentral lists this ribosomal RNA (497 nucleotides) under uncultured bacterium. RNAcentral describes it as "partial 16S ribosomal RNA". It matches the Rfam family "Bacterial small subunit ribosomal RNA", at positions 28 to 507 of the family's 1533-position model. The record is from RNAcentral.